GACGGAGGAUGCAAGCGUUAUCCGGAAUGAUUGGGCGUAAAGCGUCCGCAGGUGGCAGUUCAAGUCUGCUGUCAAAGACCGGGGCUUAACUUCGGAAAGGCAGUGGAAACUGAACAGCUAGAGUAUGGUAGGGGCAGAGGGAAUUCCUGGUGUAGCGGUGAGAUGCGUAGAUAUCAGGAAGAACAUCGGUGGCGAAGGCGCUCUGCUGGACCAUAACUGACACUCAGGGACGAAAGCUAGGGGAGCGAAUGGG
Molecule: ribosomal RNA, 253 nt
Filed under: uncultured bacterium
Lineage: Bacteria
Description: partial 16S ribosomal RNA
Rfam family: Bacterial small subunit ribosomal RNA
Source: RNAcentral